RNAcentral lists this ribosomal RNA (464 nucleotides) under uncultured bacterium. Its description in RNAcentral is "partial 16S ribosomal RNA". It matches the Rfam family "Bacterial small subunit ribosomal RNA", at positions 29 to 507 of the family's 1533-position model. The record is from RNAcentral.
ACGAACGCUGGCGGCGUGCUUAACACAUGCAAGUCGAACGGAAAGGCCCCUUUGGGGGUACUCGAGUGGCGAACGGGUGAGUAACACGUGAGUAACCUGCCCUUGACUUCGGGAUAACUUCAGGAAACUGGGGCUAAUACCGGAUAGGAAUCCUUGCUGCAUGGUGGGGGUUGGAAAGCUUCGGCGGUUUUGGAUGGACUCGCGGCUUAUCAGCUUGUUGGUGGGGUAGUGGCUUACCAAGGCUUUGACGGGUAGCCGGCCUGAGAGGGCGACCGGCCACAUUGGGACUGUGAUACGGCCCAGACUCCUACGGGAGGCAGCAGUGGGGAAUAUUGCACAAUGGGCGGAAGCCUGAUGCAGCAACGCCGCGUGCGGGAUGACGGCCUUCGGGUUGUAAACCGCUUUCAGCAGGGGCGAAGCUUGUGGUGACGGUACCUGCAGAAGAAGCACCGGCUAACUACGUG